RNAcentral lists this unclassified non-coding RNA (282 nucleotides) under fungal sp. RNAcentral describes it as "partial internal transcribed spacer region". Lineage: Eukaryota; Fungi. The record is from RNAcentral.
AAGUCAUAACAAGAUCUCCAUUGAUGAAUCAAUGGAGGGAUCAUUACUAAGUCAUAUGCUUAAACAAUCCUUCUAUGGACCUGAAUUAAACCAUUGCCUCAGUGGAUGAUCCCCUGCCAAAACCCAUGUGGUUAUGGAUAGAGGACCAGACAAUCUAGCACACUUAAGGCAUCCGGCAUCAACCACUAACCCUAACCAAUUAAACUCUAGUAAUCUUACCUUCUGAGUUUUAAUACAAAAAAAAAUAAGUCAAAAUUUUCAACAAUAGAUCUCUUGGCUCUG